Molecule: ribosomal RNA, 519 nt
Filed under: Deraeocoris sp. WCW-2003e
Lineage: Eukaryota; Metazoa; Arthropoda; Insecta; Hemiptera; Miridae
Description: eukaryotic LSU rRNA
Rfam family: Eukaryotic large subunit ribosomal RNA
Source: RNAcentral
CCAAGGAGUUUAGCGUGUACGCGAGUCAUUGGGUGGUAAAACCUAAAGGCGCAAUGAAAGUGAAGGAAACUCUGCUUUCUGCGGGAAGAUGGGUAUGGGCCCUGUUAAAGGACCACCUCGCACUCCCGGGGCGUCUCUAUCUCAUUGCGAGAGGAGGCGCACCUAGAGCGUACACGCUGAUACCCGAAAGAUGGUGAACUAUGCCUGGCCAGGACGAAGCCAGGGGAAACCCUGGUGGAGGUCCGCAGCGAUUCUGACGUGCAAAUCGAUCGUCGGAGCUGGGUUUAGGGGCGAAAGACCAAUCGAACCAUCUAGUAGCUGGUUCCCUCUGAAGUUUCCCUCAGGAUAGCUUGCGCUCGAUUGAAACGAGUCUCAUCCGGUAGAGCGAAUGAUUAGAGGCCUUGGGGUCGAAACGACCUCAACCUAUUCUCAAACUCCAAAUAGAUGAGAACCCCGGCUUUCUUGAACUUUGUUUAUGAAGCCGGGGGCUUGGAUCAGAGUGCCAAGUGGGCCAAUUUU